RNAcentral lists this ribosomal RNA (497 nucleotides) under uncultured bacterium. RNAcentral describes it as "partial 16S ribosomal RNA". It matches the Rfam family "Bacterial small subunit ribosomal RNA", at positions 28 to 507 of the family's 1533-position model. The record is from RNAcentral.
GACGAACGCUGGCGGCGUGCCUAAUACAUGCAAGUAGAACGCUGAAGCGAGGAGCUUACUCUUCUUGGAUGAGUUGCGAACGGGUGAGUAACGCGUAGGUAACCUGCCUUGUAGCGGGGGAUAACUAUUGGAAACGAUAGCUAAUACCGCAUAACAAUGGAUGACACAUGUCAUUUAUUUGAAAGGGGCAAUUGCUCCACUACAAGAUGGACCUGCGUUGUAUUAGCUAGUAGGUGAGGUAAUGGCUCACCUAGGCGACGAUACAUAGCCGACCUGAGAGGGUGAUCGGCCACACUGGGACUGAGACACGGCCCAGACUCCUACGGGAGGCAGCAGUAGGGAAUCUUCGGCAAUGGGGGCAACCCUGACCGAGCAACGCCGCGUGAGUGAAGAAGGGUUUCGGAUCGUAAAGCUCUGUUGUAAGUCAAGAACGGGUGUGAGAGUGGAAAGUUCACACUGUGACGGUAGCUUACCAGAAAGGGACGGCUAACUACGUG